Molecule: transfer RNA, 72 nt
Filed under: Toxocara canis (dog roundworm)
Lineage: Eukaryota; Metazoa; Nematoda; Chromadorea; Rhabditida; Toxocaridae
Rfam family: tRNA
About the family: Transfer RNA (tRNA) molecules are approximately 80 nucleotides in length. Their secondary structure includes four short double-helical elements and three loops (D, anti-codon, and T loops). Further hydrogen bonds mediate the characteristic L-shaped molecular structure. tRNAs have two regions of fundamental functional importance: the anti-codon, which is responsible for specific mRNA codon recognition, and the 3' end, to which the tRNAs corresponding amino acid is attached (by aminoacyl-tRNA synthetases). tRNAs cope with the degeneracy of the genetic code in two manners: having more than one tRNA (with a specific anti-codon) for a particular amino acid; and 'wobble' base-pairing, i.e. permitting non-standard base-pairing at the 3rd anti-codon position.
Source: Rfam by way of RNAcentral
CGGGCAGUAGUUCAGUGGUAGGGUUCCCGUUUCAUAUUCGGGAAGGGCUGGGUUCGAUUCCCGGCUGCUUAC